RNAcentral lists this ribosomal RNA (402 nucleotides) under uncultured bacterium. RNAcentral describes it as "bacterial SSU rRNA". It matches the Rfam family "Bacterial small subunit ribosomal RNA", at positions 355 to 769 of the family's 1533-position model. The record is from RNAcentral.
UGGGGAAUAUUGCACAAUGGGCGCAAGCCUGAUGCAGCAACGCCGCGUGCGGGAUGACGGCCUUCGGGUUGUAAACCGCUUUCAGUUCCGACGAAGCGCAAGUGACGGUAGGAACAGAAGAAGGACCGGCCAACUACGUGCCAGCAGCCGCGGUGAUACGUAGGGUCCGAGCGUUGUCCGGAAUUAUUGGGCGUAAAGGGCUUGUAGGCGGUUUGUCGCGUCGGAAGUGAAAACUCAGGGCUUAACCCUGAGCCUGCUUCCGAUACGGGCAAACUAGAGGGAUGCAGGGGAGAACGGAAUUCCUGGUGGAGCGGUGGAAUGCGCAGAUAUCAGGAGGAACACCGGUGGCGAAGGCGGUUCUCUGGGCAUUUCCUGACGCUGAGAAGCGAAAGCGUGGGGAGC